GGAUUCCCCUAGUAACUGCGAGUGAAGAGGGAAAAGCUCAAAUUUAAAAUCUGGCAGCUUCGCUGUCCGAGUUGUAAUUUAGAGAAGUGUUACCCGUGUUGGACCGUGUAUAAGUCUCCUGGAAUGGAGCGUCAUAGAGGGUGAGAAUCCCGUCUUUGACACGGACUACCAAUGCAUUGUGGUGCGCUCUCGAAGAGUCGAGUUGUUUGGGAAUGCAGCUCUAAAUGGGUGGUAAAUUCCAUCUAAAGCUAAAUAUUGGCGAGAGACCGAUAGCGAACAAGUACCGUGAGGGAAAGAUGAAAAGAACUUUGGAAAGAGAGUUAAACAGUACGUGAAAUUGCUGAAAGGGAAACGCUUGAAGUCAGUCGCGUUGGCCGGGGAUCAGCCUUGCUUUUGUGAGGUGUACUUCCUGGUUGACGGGUCAGCAUCAGUUUCGACCAUUGGAAAAAGACUUGGGGAAUGUGGCAACUUCGGUUGUGUUAUAGCCCUUUGUCGUAUACAGUGAUUGGGACUGAGGAACUCAGCACGCCGCAAGGCCGGGUUUCGACCACGUUCGUGCUUAGGAUGCUGGCAAAAUGGCUUUAAUCGACCCGUCUUGAAACACGGACCAAGGAGUCUAACAUGCUUGCGAGUGUUUGGGUGGAAAACCCGAGCGCGUAAUGAAAGUGAAAGUUGGGAUCUCUGUCGUGGAGAGCACCGACGCCCGGACCAGAAGUUUACUGACGGAUCUGCGGUAGAGCACGUAUGUUGGGACCCGAAAGAUGGUGAACUAUGCCUGAAUAGGGUGAAGCCAGAGGAAACUCUGGUGGAGGCUCGUAGCGAUUCUGACGUGCAAAUCGAUCGUCGAAUUUGGGGUAUAGGGGCGAAA
This 868-nucleotide ribosomal RNA is filed under the name Marasmius rubicundus. Its description in RNAcentral is "Marasmius haematocephalus var. rubicundus partial large subunit ribosomal RNA". It matches the Rfam family "Eukaryotic large subunit ribosomal RNA", at positions 72 to 928 of the family's 3401-position model. Lineage: Eukaryota; Fungi; Basidiomycota; Agaricomycetes; Agaricales; Marasmiaceae. The record is from RNAcentral.